Non-coding RNA from Pelobates cultripes (western spadefoot toad), 251 nucleotides. NCBI's taxonomy places the organism in Eukaryota, Metazoa, Chordata, Amphibia, Anura, Pelobatidae. The record is from the annotation of a GenBank genome assembly.
CAGACCUUGAAACUGGUUUGGUCAGAUGAGACACAAAUACAAUAUCAGUAAGUGCAAGUCCUGAAUCAGAUGUCUACAAACAAGAUAAUUUACCAAAGUGACAAUACAAAAUAGCCAAGACAUACAUACUCUCUAAGUCAGCAAUGUUUUCAGUGUGGCUAUCGUUGCCUUACAUUUGAAAUUCACUUUGAAUUUUUGACAAAAAGUAAGGAAUGAGCUAGGUACUAACAAACACUCCUACAGGGGGUAAC